RNAcentral lists this transfer RNA (68 nucleotides) under Glottidia pyramidata. Its description in RNAcentral is "tRNA-Ile". The record is from RNAcentral. Lineage: Eukaryota; Metazoa; Brachiopoda; Lingulata; Lingulida; Lingulidae.
AGGCGCUGAUCCCUAGGGGACUCCCCUCUGAUGCGGGGGAUGAGGGAGUUCGAUCUUCCCAGCGUCUA